Molecule: long non-coding RNA, 498 nt
Organism: Culex pipiens pallens (northern house mosquito)
Lineage: Eukaryota; Metazoa; Arthropoda; Insecta; Diptera; Culicidae
Exons: 2
Source: RefSeq, a predicted model, not a curated record
UGUCUCAACACUAGUAACUAAACACUGCAUAAAUUUUACGACAAACUUUCAACAACCUCAAUUUAAGCUCCAAAUCCGCACAAAAAAGUGUCUAAAACUUUUCAUCGUCGUAAGUUUUUCUCGUGCGGCCGUACCAUCAUCGUCGUCAUCGUCGCUGGGAGUUUCGCAAAGUUUUGCCAACCGUGGAAAACUGGUCGCUGGAACGAGACGAGUUGGUUUGGUGAAAAACUCCCCACCCUCGCUGCGGGAGCUCAGAGGGCCACCCAACUAGUGAGAAGGUGGUGGUGGUGAAAAGCAGAGGAACCAAGGAAGAGCCAGAAAAAGAUUCAGAAACUCACCACAAAGUCCGGUAUUGUGCGAAACAACAACAACAAUAGUGCGAAACUCUAAUCGACACGUUCUCGGCGCAUCAAACCGCAACACCAACAGCAAGCAUGACCUCCACCACUAUCAGCGUGGUGGAAUCGGUUAAAUUGCGGGGAUCUUCGGUAAUUGAAA